GGAUUAGCUCAGUUGGUUAGAGCAUGGUGCUAUUAACACAAGGCUGUGGGUUUGAUCCCCAUAUGGGCCA
Lamprotornis superbus is the source of this 70-nucleotide non-coding RNA. Lineage: Eukaryota; Metazoa; Chordata; Aves; Passeriformes; Sturnidae. The record is from the annotation of a GenBank genome assembly.